This 253-nucleotide ribosomal RNA is filed under the name uncultured bacterium. RNAcentral describes it as "partial 16S ribosomal RNA". It matches the Rfam family "Bacterial small subunit ribosomal RNA", at positions 524 to 776 of the family's 1533-position model. The record is from RNAcentral.
UACGGAGGGAGCUAGCGUUGUUCGGAAUUACUGGGCGUAAAGCGCGCGUAGGCGGCUUUGUAAGUUAGAGGUGAAAGCCCGGAGCUCAACUCCGGAACUGCCUUUAAAACUGCAUCGCUUGAAUCCAGGAGAGGUGAGUGGAAUUCCGAGUGUAGAGGUGAAAUUCGUAGAUAUUCGGAAGAACACCAGUGGCGAAGGCGGCUCACUGGACUGGUAUUGACGCUGAGGUGCGAAAGCGUGGGGGGCAAACAGG